UUGAAUCGUCUCAUCCAAAUGAUUAGGGGCAAGAUGUGCAUCCUCCUGCAGUUAAUUUAGAGACUGCUUGUUUGCUUUCCACACUCAGGGCUCAACCAGCUGUGCUGAAAUUUGGUUAUUUCCAUCUGCGGCCUAUGGAACUGAAGAAUGAAUUUCAAACUCAACUUCAACAUGCUUUCACCUUUACUUCUGCUUCAGGAAAUGGUCAUUAAAAUUGCUAAUCGUACCUGGACUAUACCAAUCCAAGACCGCGAGCUUAGUGCCAAGCCAUUUAACAAGUUCGUUGCUACCCUUGAUCUGGAACCUUUUGAUUACUUACUGAUUACCAUGCUACCGACAACACAAUUUAUAGUCAUUGUCUUCCAUGCACACAAUGACAGUGAAAGGCUUUAUCCAUGGUUUUAGUCAAGUUCUACGGUGCUUCCUUAGCAAUGUGUUAUGUCAUUUGUGGCAACAUAGAUAUUUUGCCCCAACUUUUCUCCAGCCUUUAGCGCACACCUC
This is a long non-coding RNA of Rhododendron vialii, 501 nucleotides long. RefSeq lists it as uncharacterized. The transcript has 3 exons. Lineage: Eukaryota; Viridiplantae; Streptophyta; Magnoliopsida; Ericales; Ericaceae. The record is from RefSeq and is a predicted model, not a curated record.